GACGAACGCUGGCGGCGUGCUUAACGCAUGCAAGUCGAACGAUGAAGAAGAGAAACGCGAACUUCGGUCCAAAUUUCACUUCGGAUUAGUGGCAGACGGGUGAGUAACGCGUGAGCAACCUACCUCUUACAAAGGGAUAGCCUCGGGAAACCGUGAUUAAUACCAUAUGACACAUUCAUAAGGCAUCUUAAGAAUGUUAAAGCUACGGCGGUAAGAGAUGGGCUCGCGUCCCAUUAGCUAGUUGGUGAGGUAACGGCCCACCAAGGCGACGAUGGGUAACCGGCCUGAGAGGGUGAACGGUCACAUUGGAACUGAGACACGGUCCAAACUCCUACGGGAGGCAGCAGUGGGGAAUAUUGCACAAUGGAGGGAACUCUGAUGCAGCGACGCCGCGUGAGCGAUGAAGGAAUUCGUUUCGUAAAGCUCUGUUCUAUGGGAAGAAAAGGACUGUACCAUAGGAGAAAGCCCCGGCUAAAUACGUG
This 482-nucleotide ribosomal RNA is filed under the name uncultured bacterium. Its description in RNAcentral is "partial 16S ribosomal RNA". It matches the Rfam family "Bacterial small subunit ribosomal RNA", at positions 28 to 507 of the family's 1533-position model. The record is from RNAcentral.